RNAcentral lists this ribosomal RNA (510 nucleotides) under uncultured Actinomycetes bacterium. RNAcentral's name for it is "bacterial SSU rRNA". It matches the Rfam family "Bacterial small subunit ribosomal RNA", at positions 355 to 879 of the family's 1533-position model. Lineage: Bacteria; Bacillati; Actinomycetota; Actinomycetes. The record is from RNAcentral.
UGGGGAAUCUUGCCCAAUGGGCGCAAGCCUGAGGCAGCAACGCCGCGUGCGGGAAGAAGGCCCUCGGGUUGUAAACCGCUUUCAGCAGGAACGAAAAUGACGGUACCUGCAGAAGAAGGUGCGGCCAACUACGUGCCAGCAGCCGCGGUGACACGUAGGCACCAAGCGUUGUCCGGAUUUAUUGGGCGUAAAGAGCUCGUAGGCGGUUCGGUAAGUCGGGUGUGAAAACCUUGGGCUCAACCCAAGGACUGCACUCGAUACUGCUGUGACUUGAGUCCGGUAGGGGAGUGGGGAAUUCCUGGUGUAGCGGUGGAAUGCGCAGAUAUCAGGAGGAACACCGGUGGCGAAGGCGCCACUCUGGGCCGGUACUGACGCUGAGGAGCGAAAGCGUGGGGAGCGAACAGGAUUAGAUACCCUGGUAGUCCACGCCGUAAACGUUGGGCACUAGGUGUGGGCUCUUACCAACGGAGUCCGUGCCGUAGCUAACGCAUUAAGUGCCCCGCCUGGGGA